ACACGGAGGGCGCGAGCGUUGUUCGGAAUCACUGGGCGUAAAGCGCACGUAGGCGGUUGGAUAAGUCGCUUGUGAAAGGCCGGGGCUCAACCCCGGGAUUGCAGGCGAUACUGUUCGACUGGAGCACGGUAGAGGCAAGUGGAAUUCCCGGUGUAGCGGUGGAAUGCGUAGAUAUCGGGAAGAACACCAGUGGCGAAGGCGGCGCUCUGGAACGUCUCUGACGCUGAGGUGCGAAAGCGUGGGGAGCAAACAGGAUUAGAUACCCCGGUAGUCC
RNAcentral lists this ribosomal RNA (274 nucleotides) under uncultured bacterium. RNAcentral's name for it is "partial 16S ribosomal RNA". It matches the Rfam family "Bacterial small subunit ribosomal RNA", at positions 523 to 796 of the family's 1533-position model. The record is from RNAcentral.